Molecule: ribosomal RNA, 250 nt
Filed under: uncultured bacterium
Lineage: Bacteria
Description: partial 16S ribosomal RNA
Rfam family: Bacterial small subunit ribosomal RNA
Source: RNAcentral
GACAAAGGGUGCAAACGUUGUUCGGAAUUACUGGGCGUAAAGCGAGUAUGGGCGGUCUGCUAAGUCGGGUGUGAAAGCCCCGGGCUCAACCCGGGAAAUGCACUCGAAACUGGCAGGCUAGAGUACUAGAAAGGUUGGUGGAAUUCUCGGUGUAGAGGUGAAAUUCGUAGAUAUCGAAAGGAACACCGGUGGCAAAAACAACCAACUGGACAGAUACUGACACUGAGACUCGAAAGCGUGGAGAGCAAAC